CCUACGAGAGGCAGCAGUGGGGAAUCUUGCACAAUGGGGGAAACCCUGAUGCAGCGACGCCGCGUGAGUGAAGAAGUAAUUCUUUAUGUAAAGCUCUAUCAGCAGGGAAGAAAAUGACGGUACCUGAGUAAGAAGCCCCGGCUAACUACGUGCCAGCAGCCGCGGUAAUACGUAGGGGGCAAGCGUUAUCCGGAUUUACUGGGUGUAAAGGGAGCGUAGACGGCAGUGCAAGUCUGGAGUGAAAGGCGGGGGCUCAACCCCCGGACUGCUCUGGAAACUGUACGGCUGGAGUGCAGGAGAGGUAAGUGGAAUUCCUAGUGUAGCGGUGAAAUGCGUAGAUAUUAGGAGGAACACCAGUGGCGAAGGCGGCUUACUGGACUGUAACUGACGUUGAGGCUCGAAAGCGUGGGGAGCAAACAGGAUUAGAUACCCCUGUAGUC
This 440-nucleotide ribosomal RNA is filed under the name uncultured bacterium. RNAcentral's name for it is "partial 16S ribosomal RNA". It matches the Rfam family "Bacterial small subunit ribosomal RNA", at positions 338 to 795 of the family's 1533-position model. The record is from RNAcentral.